AGUCUUGAGUUUUUGUUAAUUUUGGACAUAGGAAGUGGCUCCAAUCUGAACGUUUGAUCGUCUGAGAUCUGAAAUUUCUAAUAAUCCAACACCACCCUUAAAAGUUUGUAAACAGAAUAUAUUUUUGACACAACUGCCUUAGCCUGCAAGUUCACAGCAUUUUUCCUCGUUAAAUUUUCAACAGAAUGAUACCCUGAUCAUUGUUUAUUUUUCAUAGUUGC
Molecule: long non-coding RNA, 221 nt
Filed under: Setaria italica (foxtail millet)
Lineage: Eukaryota; Viridiplantae; Streptophyta; Magnoliopsida; Poales; Poaceae
Description: long non-coding RNA (SITA_LNC005321)
Source: RNAcentral